This 4325-nucleotide unclassified non-coding RNA is filed under the name uncultured Turicimonas sp. RNAcentral's name for it is "partial contains 16S ribosomal RNA, 16S-23S ribosomal RNA intergenic spacer, and 23S ribosomal RNA". The stretch from base 2094 to 4325 matches the Rfam family "Bacterial large subunit ribosomal RNA", at positions 1 to 2348 of the family's 2925-position model. The record is from RNAcentral. Lineage: Bacteria; Pseudomonadati; Pseudomonadota; Betaproteobacteria; Burkholderiales; Sutterellaceae.
UUUGUACUUCGUUCAGUUACGUAUUGCUGGUGCUGCUUGUCCAGGGUUUGUGUAACCCUUUUAACCUUUCUGUUGGUGCUGAUAUUGCAGAGUUUGAUCCUGGCUCAGAUUGAACGCUGGCGGAACGCUUACACAUGCAAGUCGAACGGUAACGAGGAGGAAAGCUUGCUUUCCUCUGUCGACAGUGGCGAACSGGKGGAGUAAGACAUCGGAACGUAUCCGCUCGUGGGGACAACUUCCCGAAGGRGCUAAUACCGCAUGAGAUCCGGGGAUGAAAGGGGGGACCCGCGAGGGCCUCUCSCSGRGGGAGCGGCCGAUGACUGAUUAGCUAGUUGGUAAGGUAAAGGCUUACCAAGGCGACGAUCAGUAGCUGGUCUGAGAGGACGACCAGCCACACUGGGACUGAGACACGGCCCAGACUCCUACGGGAGGCAGCAGUGGGGAAUUUUGGACAAUGGGCGCAAGCUGAUUCSCGCGUGUGGGAAGACGGCCUUCGGGUUGUAAACCACUUUUGUAGAGAACGAAAAGUCUGUUGAUAAUACCGAUAGAUGAUGACGGUACUCUAAGAAUAAGCACCGGCUAACUACGUGCCAGCAGCCGCGGUAAUACGUAGGGUGCGAGCGUUAAUCGGAUUACUGGGCGUAAAGGGUGUGCAGGCGGUUUUGCAAGAUGGAUGUGAAARCCCCGGCUUAACCUGGGGAAAGCCAUACAUGACUGCAAGACUAGAGUGCGUCAGAGGGGGGGAAUUCCAAGUGUAGCAGUGAAAUGCGUAGAUAUUUGGAAGAACACCGAUGGCGAAGGCAGCCCCUGGGACGCAACUGACGCUCAUACACGAAAGCGUGGGARCAAACAGGAUUAGAUACCCUGGUAGUCCACGCCCUAAACGAUGUCAACUAGUUGUUGGGAGGUAAAACUUUCAGUAACGCAGCUAACGCGAGAGUUGACCGCCUGGGAAGUACGGUCGCAAGACUAAAACUCAAAGGAAUUGACGGGGACCCGCACAAGCGGUGGAUGAUGUGGAUUAAUUCGAUGCAACGCGAAAAACCUUACCUACCCUUGACAUGGCAGACAACUCCUUGUAAUGAGGAGAGCUCGCAAGAGGAUCUGCACACAGGUGCUGCAUGGCUGUCGUCAGCUCGUGUCGUGAGAUGUUGGGUUAAGUCCCGCAACGAGCGCAACCCUUGUCACUAGUUGCUACGAAAGGGCACUCUAAGUGAGACUGCCGGUGACAAACCGGAGGAAGGUGGGGAUGACGUCAAGUCCUCAUGGCCCUUAUGGGUAGGGCUUCACACGUCAUACAAUGGUCGGAACAGAGGGCAGCGAAGCCGAGAGGCGGAGCAAAUYCCAAAAAACCGAUCGUAGUCSGAUUGCAGUCUGCAACUCGACUGCAUGAAGUCGGAAUCGCUAGUAAUCGCGGAUCAGCAUGCCGCGGUGAAUACGUUCCCGGUCUUGUACACACCGCCCGUCAAACAAUGGGAGUGGUGUUUACCAGAAGUCGUUAGCCUAACCGCAAGGAGGGCGGCGACCACGGUGAGCACCGUGACUAAUGUUAAGUCGUAACAAGGUAGCCGUACCGGAAGGUGCGGCUGGAUCCUCCUUUCAAAAGUUUUUUGCUUGAAGAUUUGAGUGUCCGCUCUUAUCGGCAGUCGAUAGAUUGAAGAGAGAAUAGGCCAAAGGCUAAGGGUCUUUAGCUCAGCUGGUUAGAGCACCGUCUUGAUAAGGCGGGGUCGAUGGUUCAAGUCCAUCAAGACCCACCAAAGUCUUUCAUGGGGGUAUAGCUCAGCUGGGAGAGCACCUGCUUUGCAAGCAGGGGGUCAACRGUUCGAUCCGUUUACCUCCACCAGAUUACUGAAAUAAGUGCUUAGUGAGUAUUUAUUUCAGGCAAUUUAGAAACCUGAAAAUUUUUUUUUUAAAAAAUCGGAAAUUUGAAUCAAUUGAAAACGUUUAUGGAAACGUAAACGGGUAAAGAUUGACGAGUYAUUAACAAAGCAAAACUUUGUGAGAAACUUGAAAGCGAAGACAUAAACAGCGUAAUGGGACAGCGUUUAGCGGUUGCUUGUAACGCUGCCGGGCAAUAGGCGGCAGGGUUAUAGGAUCAAGCGACUAAGUGCAUGUGGUGGAUGCCUUAGCGAUCACAGGCGAAAGAAAGACGUGGCAGCCUGCGAAAAGCUGCGGGGAGCUGGCAAACGAGCAUAGAUCGCAGAUAUCUGAAUGGGGAACCCAGCCCGAUAAGGGUUAUCGCAUGAUGAAUCCAUAGUCAUGCGAGGCGAACGAGGAGAACUGAAACAUCUAAAGUAUCCUCAGGAAAAGAAAUCAACCGAGAUUCCGGCAGUAGCGGCGAGCGAACCCGRAGARCCUAGUUUUGAUAGUUUGGAUAAUAGAAGAAUGAGAUGGAAAGCUCAGCCAAAGAAGGUGAUAGCCCUGUAUUUAAAAUUGUCCGAAUGGUACUAAGGAAACGAGUAAGGCAGGACACGAGGAAUCCUGUCUGAAGAAGGGGGACCAUCCUCAAGGCUAAAUACAGUGAUCGACCGAUAGUGAACCAGUACCGUGAGGGAAAGGGAAAAAAACCCCGGGGGGUGAAAUAGAACCUGAAACCGCAUGCAUACAAACAGUAGGAGCCUUUUUUGAGGUGACUGCGUACCUUUGCAUAAUGGGUCAGCGACUUACAUUCUGUGGCAAGGUUAACCARAUAGGAAGCCGAAGCGAAAGCAGUUCGAAUAGAGCGAAGAGUCGCAGGUGUAGACCCGAAACCAGAUGAGCUAUCCAUGGCCAGGUUGAAGGUGUGGUAACACACACUGGAGGACCGAACCGACUAGUGUUGCAAAAUUAGCGGAUGAGCUGUGGAUAGGGGUGAAAGGCCAAACAAAUCUGGAGAUAGCUGGUUCUCCCGAAAACUAUUGAGGAUAGUGGGUAGAGCACCGUUUUUGGCUAGGGGACAUGUAGUCUUACAAACCAAGGCAAACUCCGAAUACCUGGAAGCUAUACACGGGAGACAGAGCACCGGGUGCUAACGUCCGGACUCAAAGARAAAACAGACCGCCGGCUAGGUCCCCAAUAGCAGCUAAGUGGAAAACAGAAGUGGAAGGCCGUGACAACCAGGAAGUUGGCUUAGAAGCAGCCAUCCUUCAAAGAAAGCGUAAUAGCUCACUGGUCGAGUCUUUCUGCGCGGAAGAUGUAACGGGGCUAAGCUGCUAACCGAAGCCGCGGAUGCAUGGAUUAAUCCAUGCGUGGUAGGGGAGCGUUCUGUAAGUCUGAGAAGGCGGAUUGAAGUCUGCUGGAGAUAUCAGAAGUGCGAAUGCUGACAUGAGUAACGUUAAAGAGGGUGAAAAGCCCUCUCGCCGCAAAACCCAAGGUUUCCUGCUCUACGUUCAUCGGAGCAGGGUGAGUCRACUAAGGUCAGGCCGAAAGGCGUAGCCGAUGGGAACCAGGUUAAUAUUCCCGGACCGCUGUCAGAUGCGAAGGGGUGACGGAGGCUAAGGUCAUCCAGUGUUGGACUACUCGGUACUUAGACGAGGACGGUUGGCAGGCAAAUCCGCCAACGGAUCGUCCGGAUCGGAAGUGGUGCCCCCGGGGGGAAGUGAUUGAAAACYUUCCAGGAAAAAACCUCUAAGCUACAGUCUGACAGGACCGUACCGCAAACCGACACUGGUGGGCCGAGCUGAAUAUGCUCAGGCGCUUGAGAGAACUCGGGAGAAGGAACUCGGCAAAUUGACACCGUAACUUCGGAAGAAGGUGUGCCGCAGUAGCGUGAGAGGAGAAACACCUUGAGCGUGAGACGGUCUCAGAGAAUAGGUGGCUGCGACUGUUUAUUAAAACACAGCACUCUGCAAAGUCGAAAGACGACGUAUAGGGUGUGAUGCCUGCCAGUGCUGGAAGAUUAAUUGAUGGGCUGAGAGGCCUUGAUCGAAGUCCCAGUAAACGGCGGCCGUAACUAUAACGGUCCUAAGGUAGCGAAAAUUCCUUGUCGGGUAAGUUCCGACCUGCACGAAUGGCAUAACGAUGGCCACACUGUCUCCCCCGAGACUCAGUGAAGUUGAAGUGUUUGUGAUGAUGCAAUCUACCCGCGGCUAGACGGAAAGACCCCAUGAACCUUUACUGCAGCUUUGCAUUGAACUGUGAACCGAUUUGUGUAGGAUAGGUGGGAGACAGAGAAGAGGAGCGCCAGCUCCUCUGGAGUCAACAAUGAAAUACCACCCUGAUUUGUUUGCGGUUCUAACCAAGACAGAGCACACUGUUUGGGACCGUGCAUGGUAGGCAGUUUUACUGGGGCGGUGAAGAUAGAGCGACAGGCAAGUAGGUUAAAAGGUUACACAAACCCUGGACRA